Molecule: long non-coding RNA, 869 nt
Filed under: Homo sapiens (human)
Lineage: Eukaryota; Metazoa; Chordata; Mammalia; Primates; Hominidae
Description: long intergenic non-protein coding RNA 2241
Source: RNAcentral
GUACAAGCUCUCGCCUGCCGCCAUGUAAACGUUCUUUGCUCCUGCUUCGUCUUCUGCCGUGAUUGUGAGGCCUCCCCAGCCAUGUGGAACUACUCAUCACUCACUGCAGAUGUUACUUUAAGACAUUCUGGAGCAGCGUCAUGUGCAGUUCUGCAGGCUGGAAAUCCAAGAUGAAGUCACCUGUAGUUCAGUGUCUGUGUCUAAGAGAGCACUUUGUUGCUGCACCCGCCAGAGGGAAGAAAUACUGUAUCUUCUCAUGAAGGAAGGAACCGAAGGUGCGUAGUGCCUCCGCCCAUCUCUCUCUUGCUCCUGGUCUCAUCGUGACGGGCCUGGUCCUGCCUCACUUUAUGCCACGACUAAGAGCUCCCUGAGGCCUCUCCAGAAGCAGAUAUCACUAUGCUUCCUACACAGCCUGCAGAACCGUGAGCCAAUUAAACAUCUCUUCUUAUAAGUUACCUAGUCUCAGGUAUUUCUUUAUAGCAGUGCAACAACAGCCUAAUACAUCUGGCAAUGUUUUUGGAUGUGAUUAUAGAUAAAAAUAAAUCUAAAAAGUUUACCAGCUUUCCGGGGAUCUAGCCAUCUUUAUACAAAGGGCUUCAAAAAUAAACUAAUUAAUAAAAGGAUGGCUAAUCAUUAGAACAACAUUUCAGUAUCUGUGUGGGUGUUAUAUUUUAUCUGUUAGUAAAUAUUUUAUAAUAAGGGAGCAUGUUUCUUUCUGACUUGACAUUAAAGUACCUAUACAUCUGUUAAAAAGUGCUUUGACCUUUAGCAAUGUGGUAUGAUCAACGAUAUUAUAAGCUGAUUUAGGUUAAAAAAAGGACACAUGGGCUUAUCAGUUUUAGAAGUAGACAUCUGUAUGCAAAAAAAAA